CAUGCCUAGAUUGCUCUACUCGAC
Molecule: non-coding RNA, 24 nt
Filed under: Arabidopsis thaliana (thale cress)
Lineage: Eukaryota; Viridiplantae; Streptophyta; Magnoliopsida; Brassicales; Brassicaceae
Source: RNAcentral